RNAcentral lists this ribosomal RNA (439 nucleotides) under uncultured bacterium. RNAcentral's name for it is "partial 16S ribosomal RNA". It matches the Rfam family "Bacterial small subunit ribosomal RNA", at positions 339 to 795 of the family's 1533-position model. The record is from RNAcentral.
CUACGGGAGGCUGCAGUGGGGAAUAUUGCACAAUGGAGGAAACUCUGAUGCAGCAACGCCGCGUGGAGGAUGACACUUUUCGGAGCGUAAACUCCUUUUAUAUAGGAAGAAGAUGACGGUACUAUAUGAAUAAGCGCCGGCUAACUCCGUGCCAGCAGCCGCGGUAAUACGGAGGGCGCAAGCGUUACUCGGAAUCACUGGGCGUAAAGAGCGUGUAGGCGGAUUAAAAGGUCAGAAGUGAAAUCCCAUAGCUUAACUAUAGAACUGCUUCUGAAACUCUUAAUCUAGAAUGUGGGAGAGGUAGAUGGAAUUUCUGGUGUAGGGGUAAAAUCCGUAGAGAUCAGAAGGAAUACCGAUUGCGAAGGCGAUCUACUAGAACAUUAUUGACGCUGAGACGCGAAAGCGUGGGGAGCAAACAGGAUUAGAUACCCUCGUAGUC